CUCUUUAAUGGUUGAUAAACCUUAACAAACCUGUGGGGCUACUACCAAUUUCUCAAUACAUCCAUGGAUGUAUCAAUUGAUCUGACUGUAAAUCAGUUCAAGAUGAGAUAUCACACGCAUUACAGUGCGUAAUUGGAGUUAGUGCAGACUUAAAAAUCAGGU
RNAcentral lists this non-coding RNA (162 nucleotides) under unclassified sequences. The record is from RNAcentral.